AAGGGCACCACAAGAACGCGUGGAGCAUGUGGCUUAAUUUGACUCAACGCGGGAAAUCUUACCGGGUCCGGACACACUGAGGAUUGACAGGUAAUACAAUGAUCGAGCAACCUAGUUGCUUGUGAAUUGUGAACAAAUAUGCUAGUCCUUUCAUGAUUAUGUGAUAGGUGGUGCAUGGCCGUUCUUAGUUCGUGGAGUGAUCUGUCUGCUUAAUUGCGUUUCACAUAGAACCUAUCAAUAAUUUAGAUGCUUUGCUGAUUUAAAUUGACCCCUUCUCUCGAGAUGCGCGCGUCUUUUUACUUUCACGACGUCUAAUGAAUCAGGUUCUGAAAGCAACGAACGUGACCGCAACCUCUUGUUGCCUCUAUUCUAACCAAAAGAGGCUAAGACUCUUUACCGAGUCUAAAACUAGAGGGACCGCUGUUAUCUUCUUUAAACCAGAGGAAGGUUGCGGCAAUAACAGGUCUGUGAUGCCCUUAGAUGUUCCGGGCUGCACACGUGCUACAAUGAUUAUUGCAGUGAGCAUCUCAUACUCAUUACAUCAAUUUUGUAGUCGUUGCAUUUUUUCCUUUUUUGGAAAGAUGCUUCUGAUUUACAAUUUGAUCCAGCCUACUUCGAAAGUAAGCGGGUAAUCAAUUAGAAGUAAUGAUUUCCUAAGUUUGUACACCUAUAUAUGGCAUGUCAUGCCCUUUGCCACUUUUAUAGUGGUAUCUGUGUGUAUGCGUGUUAACUUCUUUCUUAAAGUUGUUAUUUCCAUAUGUUACAAUUGUUAAUUCAUGGUGGGGACAGACCAUUGUCUUUAAUUGUUGGUCUCGGUCUUAACUAGGAAUGCCUUGUACAGGUUUUUGGUUCAACAAACCACCUGGAAUACGUCCCUGCCCUUUGUACACACCGCCCGUCGCUCUUACCGAUGAACUUCUCUGUGAGUUUGAGGGACUGGCAUAUUCGCUAUGGAAACUUAAACGAACAGUGUGGUUUAAAGGAAAGAGAAGUCGAACAAGGCA
Molecule: ribosomal RNA, 1004 nt
Filed under: Elphidium sp.
Lineage: Eukaryota; Foraminifera; Rotaliida; Elphidiidae
Description: SSU rRNA
Rfam family: Eukaryotic small subunit ribosomal RNA
Source: RNAcentral